UACGGAGGGGGCUAGCGUUGUUCGGAAUUACUGGGCGUAAAGCGUGUGUAGGCGGCUCUGCAAGUCGGAUGUGAAAGCCCCGGGCUCAACCUGGGAAGUGCACUCGAAACUGCUGAGCUUGAGUAUCGGAGAGGUCGGUGGAAUUCUCGGUGGAGAGGUGAAAUUCGUAGAUAUCGAGGGGAACACCAGUGGCGAAGGCGGCCGACUGGACGAAUACUGACGCUGAGACACGAAAGCGUGGGGAGCAAACAGG
This 253-nucleotide ribosomal RNA is filed under the name uncultured bacterium. Its description in RNAcentral is "partial 16S ribosomal RNA". It matches the Rfam family "Bacterial small subunit ribosomal RNA", at positions 524 to 776 of the family's 1533-position model. The record is from RNAcentral.